This 402-nucleotide ribosomal RNA is filed under the name uncultured Ruegeria sp. RNAcentral's name for it is "bacterial SSU rRNA". It matches the Rfam family "Bacterial small subunit ribosomal RNA", at positions 353 to 772 of the family's 1533-position model. Lineage: Bacteria; Pseudomonadati; Pseudomonadota; Alphaproteobacteria; Rhodobacterales; Roseobacteraceae. The record is from RNAcentral.
AGUGGGGAAUCUUGGACAAUGGGGGCAACCCUGAUCCAGCCAUGCCGCGUGAGUGAUGAAGGCCUUAGGGUCGUAAAGCUCUUUCGCCUGUGAAGAUAAUGACGGUAGCAGGUAAAGAAACCCCGGCUAACUCCGUGCCAGCAGCCGCGGUAAUACGGAGGGGGUUAGCGUUGUUCGGAAUUACUGGGCGUAAAGCGCACGUAGGCGGACUGGAAAGUUGGGGGUGAAAUCCCGGGGCUCAACCCCGGAACUGCCUCCAAAACUAUCAGUCUAGAGUUCGAGAGAGGUGAGUGGAAUUCCAAGUGUAGAGGUGAAAUUCGUAGAUAUUUGGAGGAACACCAGUGGCGAAGGCGGCUCACUGGCUCGAUACUGACGCUGAGGUGCGAAAGUGUGGGGAGCAAA